Molecule: ribosomal RNA, 371 nt
Filed under: uncultured bacterium
Lineage: Bacteria
Description: bacterial SSU rRNA
Rfam family: Bacterial small subunit ribosomal RNA
Source: RNAcentral
UACGUAGGGGGCGAGCGUUGUCCGGAUUUACUGGGCGUAAAGGGUGAGUAGGCGGUUGUAUAUGUCAGGUGUAAAAGGCACAGGCUUAACUUGUGUUAGCACUUGAAACUGUACGACUUGAGUGCAGGAGAGGUAAGCGGAAUUCCUAGUGUAGCGGUGAAAUGCGUAGAUAUUAGGAGGAACACCAGUGGCGAAGGCGGCUUACUGGACUGUAACUGACGCUGAGUCACGAAAGCGUGGGUAGCAAACAGGAUUAGAUACCCUGGUAGUCCACGCUGUAAACGAUGAGUGCUAGGUGUUGGGUAGCGAUACUCAGUGCCGCAGCAAACGCAAUAAGCACUCCGCCUGGGGAGUACGGUCGCAAGACUGAA